Molecule: unclassified non-coding RNA, 917 nt
Filed under: Hevea brasiliensis (rubber tree)
Lineage: Eukaryota; Viridiplantae; Streptophyta; Magnoliopsida; Malpighiales; Euphorbiaceae
Source: RNAcentral
GUGAUUUUCAACUAUAGUCUUAGUUGGGUGCUGUUCUGAUUGAGGGAAAUGCAAGGUGAUAACGGGACUACAUGAUUGGAAUCUGAACUAUUAAAGCAAAUCUGGUUAGGGAAUAUGAUGAAAUUGGAUUUUGGUCAAUUUUUGGUGGCAGGCUACUCUUACCAGUCAAUUGGUUUGGGUAGAAUUCAACAUUAAAUUUGGCCCUUAUCAAUAAAAGUUGAAGUGCACUCAAAAUCUGUGCACGUUAGGUGCAUGUCCGACGCUUAGCUUAAAUCAGUGUGAAGAGAAUAUAAACCUGCGUGAUUAAAAUAUUAAAUGAUAUUGAAUCAUUUUCAGAGGCAUAAACACAGUUUGAGUUUCAAUCAAAGCUAAAUAAAUUAAAAAAUUUAUAUAUGUUAAAUGGUAUAAGGGAGCUGCAGGCUAAACAGUAUGUGAUAUAGAUGAGUCGACAUUGGUAGAAUGCAAUACUUGUGGUGAGAUAAAGGUGUAUACUUAAAUUAUUGUGUGAUGACUUUGACCAUUGCUCUCCUUAUGUUGAGUAAUGAAGGUGGCAAUUCUUGUUGGUGAAGGUCUAUAGAUUUUUUUUUUUUAAUAUUACUAUUACUUUAUCUUCUUUUUUAAUGGAAAUAUUUUGAUGAGAAAUAUUUUUUGGUAUGAGAAAAAGGCACUAUAACCUGAUCGCUAACAUAUAAUUAAUUAAGUGAAUGAUAGCUAAAAAUAUCUAAUGUUACUGUUAAUGGGUGCAGUUCUUAACUAAGCAAGAAGCAUAGCACGUGUUGUAGAGCUGGACUUUUUGUUAUCUUUUACAAGCCUAGAAUGUCAAUUUGAUCAAUCUUCUUUUGUUUUGAUUUAAGUUUGAGUUGAUUCCAGUUUUUGCAACCCAAAAUAAUUGGAUUAUUUGUAAUACAAAUAAUUUU